RNAcentral lists this ribosomal RNA (230 nucleotides) under uncultured bacterium. RNAcentral's name for it is "partial 16S ribosomal RNA". It matches the Rfam family "Bacterial small subunit ribosomal RNA", at positions 568 to 796 of the family's 1533-position model. The record is from RNAcentral.
CGUGUAGGCGGUCAAGUAAGUCGAAGGUGAAAUUUCUACGGCUCAACCGAGAAACUGCCUUCGAAACUGCUGGACUUGAGUACGGUAGAGGUGAGUAGAAUUCCCAGUGUAGCGGUGAAAUGCGUAGAUAUUGGGAGGAAUACCGGUGGCGAAGGCGGCUCACUGGACCGUUACUGACGCUGAGACGCGAAGGCGUGGGGAGCGAACAGGAUUAGAUACCCUGGUAGUCC